RNAcentral lists this transfer RNA (76 nucleotides) under Pedosphaera sp. RNAcentral describes it as "tRNA-Val". It matches the Rfam family "tRNA". Rfam says of the family: Transfer RNA (tRNA) molecules are approximately 80 nucleotides in length. Their secondary structure includes four short double-helical elements and three loops (D, anti-codon, and T loops). Further hydrogen bonds mediate the characteristic L-shaped molecular structure. tRNAs have two regions of fundamental functional importance: the anti-codon, which is responsible for specific mRNA codon recognition, and the 3' end, to which the tRNAs corresponding amino acid is attached (by aminoacyl-tRNA synthetases). tRNAs cope with the degeneracy of the genetic code in two manners: having more than one tRNA (with a specific anti-codon) for a particular amino acid; and 'wobble' base-pairing, i.e. permitting non-standard base-pairing at the 3rd anti-codon position. Lineage: Bacteria; Pseudomonadati; Verrucomicrobiota; Pedosphaerae; Pedosphaerales; Pedosphaeraceae. The record is from RNAcentral.
GGGCGGUUGGCGCAGUGGCUAGCGCAGAUGCCUUACACGCAUUUGGUCGGGGGUUCGAGUCCCUCACCGCCCACCA